CGGAGUGGACGCAUCACUGGUGUUCGGGUUGUCAUGCCAAUGGCAUUGCCCGGUAGCUAAAUGCGGAAGAGAUAAGUGCUGAAAGCAUCUAAGCACGAAACUUGCCCCGAGAUGAGUUCUCCCUGACCCUUUAAGGGUCCUGAAGGAACGUUGAAGACGACGACGUUGAUAGGCCGGGUGUGUAAGCGCAGCGAUGCGUUGAGCUAACCGGUACUAAUGAACCGUGAGGCUUAACCUUACAACGCCGAAGCUGUU
This 255-nucleotide ribosomal RNA is filed under the name Escherichia coli. Its description in RNAcentral is "partial 23S ribosomal RNA". It matches the Rfam family "Bacterial large subunit ribosomal RNA", at positions 2693 to 2925 of the family's 2925-position model. The record is from RNAcentral. Lineage: Bacteria; Pseudomonadati; Pseudomonadota; Gammaproteobacteria; Enterobacterales; Enterobacteriaceae.